This 570-nucleotide ribosomal RNA is filed under the name uncultured Enterococcus sp. RNAcentral describes it as "bacterial SSU rRNA". It matches the Rfam family "Bacterial small subunit ribosomal RNA", at positions 102 to 658 of the family's 1533-position model. The record is from RNAcentral. Lineage: Bacteria; Bacillati; Bacillota; Bacilli; Lactobacillales; Enterococcaceae.
ACGGGUGAGUAACACGUGGGUAACCUGCCCAUCAGAGGGGGAUAACACUUGGAAACAGGUGCUAAUACCGCAUAACAGUCAACACCGCAUGGUGUUGGUUUGAAAGACGCUUUCGGGUGUCACUGAUGGAUGGACCCGCGGUGCAUUAGCUAGUUGGUGAGGUAACGGCUCACCAAGGCCAUGAUGCAUAGCCGACCUGAGAGGGUGAUCGGCCACACUGGGACUGAGACACGGCCCAGACUCCUACGGGAGGCAGCAGUAGGGAAUCUUCGGCAAUGGACGAAAGUCUGACCGAGCAACGCCGCGUGAGUGAAGAAGGUUUUCGGAUCGUAAAACUCUGUUGUUAGAGAAGAACAAGUGGGAGAGUAACUGCUCCCGCCUUGACGGUAUCUAACCAGAAAGCCACGGCUAACUACGUGCCAGCAGCCGCGGUAAUACGUAGGUGGCAAGCGUUGUCCGGAUUUAUUGGGCGUAAAGCGAGCGCAGGCGGUUUCUUAAGUCUGAUGUGAAAGCCCCCGGCUCAACCGGGGAGGGUCAUUGGAAACUGGGAGACUUGAGUGCAGAAGAGGA